CAAAGAGUGUCUGACAAAAGUUGUGGUCUCUUAAACCACCUAUGGUAUUAAAACUUCUACCCUCUUUG
This 68-nucleotide transfer RNA is filed under the name Choroterpides apiculata (nomen nudum). Its description in RNAcentral is "tRNA-Lys". Lineage: Eukaryota; Metazoa; Arthropoda; Insecta; Diptera; Culicidae. The record is from RNAcentral.